RNAcentral lists this ribosomal RNA (382 nucleotides) under uncultured archaeon. RNAcentral describes it as "bacterial SSU rRNA". It matches the Rfam family "Archaeal small subunit ribosomal RNA", at positions 345 to 727 of the family's 1478-position model. The record is from RNAcentral.
AAACUUUACAAUGCCGGCAACGGCGAUAAGGGAACCUCGAGUGCCAGGUUACAAAUCUGGCUGUCGUUGUGUCUAAAAAACACAAUAUAGCAAGGGCCGGGCAAGACCGGUGCCAGCCGCCGCGGUAACACCGGCGGCUCGAGUGGUAACCGUUAUUAUUGGGUCUAAAGGGUCUGUAGCCGGCCGGAUAAGUCUCUUGGGAAAUCCGGCAGCUCAACUGUCGGGCUUUCAGGAGAUACUGUCUGGCUCGAGGCCGGGAGAGGUGAGAGGUACUUCAGGGGUAGGGGUGAAAUCUUGUAAUCCUUGAAGGACCACCAGUGGCGAAGGCGUCUCACCAGAACGGACCUGACGGCAAGGGACGAAAGCUAGGGGCACGAACCGG